Molecule: non-coding RNA, 874 nt
Organism: Misgurnus anguillicaudatus (oriental weatherfish)
Lineage: Eukaryota; Metazoa; Chordata; Actinopteri; Cypriniformes; Cobitidae
Source: RefSeq, a predicted model, not a curated record
UGACAGUGACAAAAAGGAAGCAGCCUUCUCUAGCCCACCCAAGUUUCCAUCAAAGGAGCAAGCCUAUGUCAGUAAGAAGAAAGCUGGCUAACCCUCCCACCCCUUGUUUAACUCCUCCAGCCCAUCCCACAUCAUUGUAGAGUGAAGAGACUGCGGUUAAUAUUCAGAAAGAGGCGCAGAGAACUGAAGGCUUUCCUGACUUGACACCGAAUAAUAACGAAGGCCUGUGUGCUUUGCAGCAGCCUCCACGUCACCCUCUUCCAGGGCUCCGUCAGAGGACUAACGAUAUGCCACAAGAUGAUUGGCAGCAAGACACACCCAGUGAUGAAGGGAUGUGCUCUCCUUAAAUCACAGCCUAUUCAUCAGGUACUCCUGAGUGCUGUGUUAAGAAAUCCUGCCUACAAAGUUCCACUGAGGCUGAUAUAAAGAUGACUGUGAGAAACUGGCUGCGGCUGUCUGAGCAGAGACAGGAAUGGGGGCGGCAAAGGCGGGACAAGCAAGCAUCUUAAGUGAAAUAAUUGAUUGGACUGAUUCUGGAGUAUGACUUAUUCUGGAGGGAAUUUCUUAUUUUUGUUGCAGUUUGCUAUGGGACGGUUUCAAGGACAGGGAUUAGACUAGUCCUGGACUAAAAUAAAUGUAAGAGCUGUCCAAACUGAAAACAACUUGCACUGACAUAUCAUAAAAUACAUCAGUGUCUUUUGUGAUGCUUCAAAAUGCACACAAGUAAUGUUUUUAUUAAGACAUGUUAUUAAAACUAGUUAUAUUUCAGAAUUAAACUAAGGCCUAGUCCCGGUUUAAGAUAAUCCCUGUCCGGGAAACCACCCCAAAGUGUAAUUUGUGGAGUGUUAAAAUAAAUGAAACAAUGAAACUGCCU